Molecule: ribosomal RNA, 458 nt
Filed under: uncultured bacterium
Lineage: Bacteria
Description: bacterial SSU rRNA
Rfam family: Bacterial small subunit ribosomal RNA
Source: RNAcentral
ACACAUGCAAGUACGAACGGUAGAGGGGCGAACCCUUCGAGAGUGGCGAACGGGUGAGUAAUAUAUCGGAACGUGCCCAGUCGUGGGGGAUAACGUAGCGAAAGUUACGCUAAUACCGCAUACGAUCUAAGGAUGAAAGCGGGGGACUCGCAAGAGCCUCGCGCGAUUGGAGCGGCCGAUAUCAGAUUAGGUAGUUGGUGGGUAAAGGCUCACCAAGCCAACGAUCUGUAGCUGGUCUGAGAGGACGACCAGCCACACUGGAACUGAGACACGGUCCAGACUCCUACGGGAGGCAGCAGUGGGGAAUUUUGGACAAUGGACGCAAGUCUGAUCCAGCCAUUCCGCGUGCAGGAUGAAGGCCCUCGGGUUGUAAACUGCUUUGUACGGAACGAAAAGGUUUCUAUUAAUACUAGGAGCUCAUGACGGUACCGUAAGAAUAAGCACCGGCUAACUACGUG